RNAcentral lists this ribosomal RNA (250 nucleotides) under uncultured bacterium. RNAcentral's name for it is "partial 16S ribosomal RNA". It matches the Rfam family "Bacterial small subunit ribosomal RNA", at positions 527 to 779 of the family's 1533-position model. The record is from RNAcentral.
CGGAGGUCCGAGCGUUAAUCGGAAUUACUGGGCGUAAAGCGUGCGCAGGCGGUUUGUUAAGCCAGAUGUGAAAUCCCCGGGCUCAACCUGGGAAUUGCAUUUGGAACUGGCGAACUAGAGUCUUGUAGAGGGGUAGAAUUCCAGGUGUAGCGGUGAAAUGCGUAGAUAUCUGGAGGAAUACCGGUGGCGAAGGCGGCCCCUGGACAAAGACUGACGCUCAUGCACGAAAGCGUGGGGAGCAAACAGGAUU